RNAcentral lists this small nuclear RNA (106 nucleotides) under Phocoena sinus (vaquita). The record is from RNAcentral. Lineage: Eukaryota; Metazoa; Chordata; Mammalia; Artiodactyla; Phocoenidae.
GUGUCACUUUGGCGGCACAUAUACUAAAAUUGGAACCAUACAGAGAAAAUUAACAUGGCCCCUGGGCAAGGAUAACAUGCAAAUCCAUGAAGCAUUCCAUAUUUUU